This 465-nucleotide ribosomal RNA is filed under the name uncultured bacterium. Its description in RNAcentral is "partial 16S ribosomal RNA". It matches the Rfam family "Bacterial small subunit ribosomal RNA", at positions 338 to 795 of the family's 1533-position model. The record is from RNAcentral.
CCUACGGGGGGCAGCAGUAGGGAAUCUUCCACAAUGGGCGCAAGCCUGAUGGAGCAACACCGCGUGAGUGAAGAAGGGUUUCGGCUCGUAAAGCUCUGUUGUUGGAGAAGAACGUGCGUGAGAGUAACUGUUCACGCAGUGACGGUAUCCACCCAGACAGUCACGGCUAACUACGUGCCAGCAGCCGCGGUAAUACGUAGGUGGCAAGCGUUAUCCGGAUUUAUUGGGCGUAAAGCGAGCGCAGGCGGUUGCUUAGGUCUGAUGUGAAAGCCUUCGGCUUAACCGAAGAAGCGCAUCGGAAACCGGUCAACUUGAGUGCAGAAGAGGACAGUGGAACUCCAUGUGUAGCGGUGGAAUGCGUAGAUAUAUGGAAGAACACCAGUGGCGAAGGCGGCUGUCUGGUCUGCAACUGACGCUGAGGCUCGAAAGCAUGGGUAGCGAACAGGAUUAGAUACCCUUGUAGUC